UGGGGGAAUUUUCCGCAAUGGGCGAAAGCCUGACGGAGCAAGACCGCGUGAGGGAAGAAGGUCUGUGGAUUGUAAACCUCUUUUGAUAGGGAAGAAGAACUGACGGUACCUAUCGAAUCAGCCUCGGCUAACUCCGUGCCAGCAGCCGCGGUAAUACGGAGGAGGCAAGCGUUAUCCGGAAUUAUUGGGCGUAAAGCGUCCGUAGGUGGAUGGAGAAGUCUGUUGUUAAAGAGUGGAGCUUAACUCCAUAAGGGCGAUGGAAACUCUUCGUCUAGAGUGCGAUAGGGGCAAGGGGAAUUCCCAGUGUAGCGGUGAAAUGCGUAGAUAUUGGGAAGAACACCGGUGGCGAAAGCGCCUUGCUGGGUCUGCACUGACACUGAGGGACGAAAGCUAGGGGGAGCGAAAGGGAUUAGAUACCCCUGUAGUCCUAGCUGUAAACGAUGGGUACUAGGCGGUUGUCCGUAUCGGACCCGGGCAGUGCCGUAGCUAACGCGUUAAGUACCCCGCCUGGGGAGUACGCUCGCAAGA
RNAcentral lists this ribosomal RNA (528 nucleotides) under uncultured cyanobacterium. Its description in RNAcentral is "bacterial SSU rRNA". It matches the Rfam family "Bacterial small subunit ribosomal RNA", at positions 354 to 893 of the family's 1533-position model. The record is from RNAcentral. Lineage: Bacteria; Bacillati; Cyanobacteriota.